UGGGGAAUAUUGCACAAUGGGGAAAGACCCUGAUGCAGCGACGCCGCGUGAGUGAAGAAGUAUCUCGGUAUGUAAAGCUCUAUCAGCAGGGAAGACAAUGACGGUACCUGACUAAGAAGCCCCGGCUAACUACGUGCCAGCAGCCGCGGUAAUACGUAGGGGGCAAGCGUUAUCCGGAUUUACUGGGUGUAAAGGGAGCGUAGACGGAUCUGCAAGUCUGGAGUGAAAGCCCGGGGCUCAACCCGGACUGCUUUGGAAACUGUGGAUCUGGAGUGCCGGAGAGGUAAGCGGAAUUCCUAGUGUAGCGGUGAAAUGCGUAGAUAUUAGGAGGAACACCAGUGGCGAAGGCGGCUUACUGGACGGUAACUGACGUUGAGGCUCGAAAGCGUGGGGAGCAAACAGGAUUAGAUACC
This 413-nucleotide ribosomal RNA is filed under the name uncultured bacterium. Its description in RNAcentral is "bacterial SSU rRNA". It matches the Rfam family "Bacterial small subunit ribosomal RNA", at positions 355 to 786 of the family's 1533-position model. The record is from RNAcentral.